GGCACUACGGUGCUGAAGCAACAAAUGCCCUGCUUCCAGGAAAAGCCUCUAAGCAUCAGGUAACAUCAAAUCGUACCCCAAACCGACACAGGUGGUCAGGUAGAGAAUACCAAGGCGCUUGAGAGAACUCGGGUGAAGGAACUAGGCAAAAUGGUGCCGUAACUUCGGGAGAAGGCACGCUGAUAUGUAGGUGAAGUCCCUCGCGGAUGGAGCUGAAAUCAGUCGAAGAUACCAGCUGGCUGCAACUGUUUAUUAAAAACACAGCACUGUGCAAACACGAAAG
This 283-nucleotide ribosomal RNA is filed under the name Escherichia coli. Its description in RNAcentral is "partial 23S ribosomal RNA". It matches the Rfam family "Bacterial large subunit ribosomal RNA", at positions 1573 to 1837 of the family's 2925-position model. The record is from RNAcentral. Lineage: Bacteria; Pseudomonadati; Pseudomonadota; Gammaproteobacteria; Enterobacterales; Enterobacteriaceae.